This 242-nucleotide non-coding RNA is filed under the name unclassified sequences. The record is from Rfam.
UUUGGGCGAAAUCAGUACCUUUUGCAGAGGGAGGACUUGUACCCUGCCUAUGGGCUAAAACUUCCGGGCACAUCGUUUGAAAUGCGCCCACCCCGAAAGGGGCACUCCGAUGUAAUCAGCCGGACGCUUCUUGCAUGGUGAGUGAUGUAUGGUAACUCAUUUCAUGGCUGGUAUUACUACGCAGUUAGAACCCAUACCCAACAAUCAUACUGUACGGAGGGAAAUCUUUUUCAUGACAAGUG